AUGCCUCAUGCCGAGUUCACAAAGCUAGUCGUGACACUAUGGGCGAUAUGGGGGGCGCGGCGAAAGCUUAUCCACGAGGGGGAGCACCAGAGCCCAAUUGGGACUCAUUCAUUCAUCACAAGGUUUCUGGCAGAUUUGAGCGUUGCUUCCAGGCCGCAUGAAAUAACGAAGCCCAAAAGAGCUCCGGAGCGGGCGCCAGUCUGGAUUCCACCACCGGCGGAUCAUCACAAGAUAAAUGUUGAUGCAGCGAUUUGUAAACAACCUCCUGUGGGGGCUAUAAGUGCGGUUUGUAGGGACCGAACAAGGACAUACACUGGCUCAGCAGCGACGGUAUUCCAUGGUAUGACGGAUCCGCACAUACUUGAAGCUUUGGCAUGCCGGGAGGCUAUUGCAUUAGCCAGGGACCUUGCGCUUACUCAUGUGAAGGUGGCUUCUGAUUGCUCAUCGGAGAUCAUCGACUCAACCAGGGAGUUUCAGUCGUGUUCUUUCGCCCAUGAGAGACGUCUAUCCAAUAAGGAGGCUCAUGGAUUAGCUCGACAUGCUUUACAUUUAGGGGAGGGUCGCCAUGUAUGGUUGCUACACCCUCAUGAUACUUCUAUUAUUCCUGUAAUUCGCUCGAUUGAUCAAUAA
Molecule: ribosomal RNA, 630 nt
Filed under: Triticum aestivum (bread wheat)
Lineage: Eukaryota; Viridiplantae; Streptophyta; Magnoliopsida; Poales; Poaceae
Description: partial small subunit ribosomal RNA
Source: RNAcentral